GACGAACGCUGGCGGCGUGCUUAACACAUGCAAGUCGAACGGAAAGGCCCUGCUUUUGUGGGGUGCUCGAGUGGCGAACGGGUGAGUAACACGUGAGUAACCUGCCCUUGACUUUGGGAUAACUUCAGGAAACUGGGGCUAAUACCGGAUAGGAGCUCCCGCUGCAUGGUGGGGGUUGGAAAGUUUCGGCGGUUGGGGAUGGACUCGCGGCUUAUCAGCUUGUUGGUGGGGUAGUGGCUUACCAAGGCUUUGACGGGUAGCCGGCCUGAGAGGGUGACCGGCCACAUUGGGACUGAGAUACGGCCCAGACUCCUACGGGAGGUAGCAGUGGGGAAUAUUGCACAAUGGGCGGAAGCCUGAUGCAGCAACGCCGCGUGCGGGAUGACGGCCUUCGGGUUGUAAACCGCUUUCGCCUGUGACGAAGCGUGAGGGACGGUAAUGGGUAAAGAAGCACCGGCUAACUACGU
Molecule: ribosomal RNA, 467 nt
Filed under: uncultured bacterium
Lineage: Bacteria
Description: partial 16S ribosomal RNA
Rfam family: Bacterial small subunit ribosomal RNA
Source: RNAcentral